RNAcentral lists this ribosomal RNA (401 nucleotides) under uncultured bacterium. RNAcentral's name for it is "bacterial SSU rRNA". It matches the Rfam family "Bacterial small subunit ribosomal RNA", at positions 356 to 773 of the family's 1533-position model. The record is from RNAcentral.
GGGGAAUAUUGCACAAUGGGCGCAAGCCUGAUGCAGCAACGCCGCGUGAAUGAUGAAGGCCUUCGGGUCGUAAAGUUCUGUCCUAUGGGAAGAAGAAGUGACGGUACCAUAGGAGGAAGCCCCGGCUAACUACGUGCCAGCAGCCGCGGUAAUACGUAGGGGGCAAGCGUUAUCCGGAAUCAUUGGGCGUAAAGGGUGCGUAGGCGGCUGAGCAAGCCAGAGGUAAAAGGCAAUAGCUUAACUAUUGUAAGCCUUUGGAACUGCUUAGCUUGAGUGCAGGAGAGGAAAGUGGAAUUCCUAGUGUAGCGGUGAAAUGCGUAGAUAUUAGGAGGAACACCAGUGGCGAAGGCGACUUUCUGGACUGUAACUGACGCUGAGGCACGAAAGCGUGGGGAGCGAAC